RNAcentral lists this transfer RNA (72 nucleotides) under Ipomoea nil (Japanese morning glory). It matches the Rfam family "tRNA". From Rfam's summary of the family: Transfer RNA (tRNA) molecules are approximately 80 nucleotides in length. Their secondary structure includes four short double-helical elements and three loops (D, anti-codon, and T loops). The record is from Rfam by way of RNAcentral. Lineage: Eukaryota; Viridiplantae; Streptophyta; Magnoliopsida; Solanales; Convolvulaceae.
AUCAGAGUGGCGCAGUGGAAGGGUUGUGGGCCCAUAACCCAUUGGUCCCAGGAUCAAAACAUGGCUCUGAUA